AAUAGCACAGAAAUGGGAACCUGGGGUUUGGAUUCCUGGGAAAAGAAGGAAAUUUGGAAUAACAAAAACAGGAACCUGGGGUUUGGACUCCCAGGAAAGGGAGGAAAUUGGGAUUUGCAGCAGCUGGAAGGGAGUUUGGGAGCCUGGCAGGUCCUGGCAGCCCAAAGCCGAGCCCAGCCCCAGGCCCUGGCAGCCCAAAGCCGAGCCUGGCAGGUCCUGGCAGCCCAAAGCCGAACCUGGCAGGUCCUGGCAGCCCAAAGCCGAGCCCAGCCCCAGGCCCUGGCAGCCCAAAGCCGAGCCUGGCAGGUCCUGGCAGCCCAAAGCCGAGCCCAGCCCCAGGCCCUGGCAGCCCAAAGCCGAGCCUGGCAGGUCCUGGCAGCCCAAAGCCGAGCCUGGCAGGUCCUGGCAGCCCAAAGCCCAGCCCCAGGCCCUGGCUCGCGGCCGUCCCUCGUUCCCAGCCCUGCCCACAUUCCAUGAAAUCUCGGCCGUGCCUCGGUGCCACCUCGGUGCUUUAUUCCCGUUCCAGGGCACGGGGCGGGCUCUGAUCCUGCCCUGGGAACCGAAUCCCGGGACAGGGAUCGGGGUGGGAGCUGGACU
Long non-coding RNA from Catharus ustulatus (Swainson's thrush), 597 nucleotides. RefSeq lists it as uncharacterized. The record is from RefSeq and is a predicted model, not a curated record. The transcript has 3 exons. NCBI's taxonomy places the organism in Eukaryota, Metazoa, Chordata, Aves, Passeriformes, Turdidae.